Molecule: unclassified non-coding RNA, 1710 nt
Filed under: Hevea brasiliensis (rubber tree)
Lineage: Eukaryota; Viridiplantae; Streptophyta; Magnoliopsida; Malpighiales; Euphorbiaceae
Source: RNAcentral
AAUCACUAGAAUCAGAUUGUUCUGAGCUUGAAUCACCUUCCUCUUCAUCACUCAUUAAAGCACACGCAGACAAAGUCAUUGCAUCACUCCCAAGCUUUGCAGAGCUUCCAUCAUCACGAAAAACAACCUUCCCUACUCUGAGUUCAUCAUCCCAUGAUUCAAGUUCAGCUUUCCUCCAAAUGCCAGCAUUAUUAUCCGAAGCUGCCCAAAUACUGGACCCCACCAAUGACUGAUCCCACAUUGUUGGGAUGUACUUCUUCAGAGAAGAUAAUGACACAUUAAACCCUGCAGAUAUAAACCCAAGUCAACUCUGAGAUCCAGGAAAAAAAAAAAACUGUUUGAGCAAAAGAUAUACAUGUGAAAUGGGUAGCAUUACAUAAAUGUGUUGGGACUAUGCCAAAGCCAAAAUGAGAAGAAAGGCAAAAGCUGUUCUAACACAGAAGUGAAUGCACAGCAAGAGGCAUAGAUUAAAAAAUGUUCUCAACUAGUUCACCGAUUUGCUGAAAGAACAUAAAGUUCCAGGUUACCUAAUUUCUCCUAUGUUGGGAAAAGAGUAUUUUAAUCACAAAGCUUCUCAAGCAUCAAUGAAAAGAUUUAAUACAAAAAAUCAAAUGGAUCCAUUUGAAGAACAAAAGUUAAACAAAAUGUCGCCCAUUAUUCUUGUAUAAAUGCUGCUUUCAUAGACAAGGCUGUGAAAAUUGAGAUAUGAAAAUAAAAUCUGCAGAGAAAAUUAUAGGAUCUACUGAUCCGCACAGUGGAAGUUAUUGCAACAUACCAUGCGAUAAGCGGCAAUUAGUACCAAAUCGACAUCGUUGUUGCAGGAAAAACUUGCAUAUCUGCGCUUGGGUGAUCUAUCAUUAGUACAAUAACUACUGAAAACCAAAAGUCUUACUUUUUAAUUUUUAAUUUAAAUCUAGCAGGUUAUAAUUCGAGUACAUUAACAUUAAGUUAGUGUAUGAGAAGAAUUUCCCAAUUUGUUUUUGCCUUUUCAAAAAAGGUGAAUUACAUUCACUCAAAGGUCUCCCACACACGAGAUAUAUAUGGGGGAACAUGAAUUUAAAAAAUGUAGAUCAAAAAGAUCUAAAAUUGGGGGCAAAAGCCUAGUUAUGCAAUGGACUAUAUUGUAUAAUAUUCCCUAAAAAAAAUAAAGAUGCAACUUUUUCUACAAAUAAACAGAAAAUCAUAGAAAUGACGCACCAUCAUAUUUUCUGAGGUAGGGGUAAGGAAAGAGAUCUUCACUGUAUUAGAACCUUCCAACCCAAUAAUUUUACCGUUAUACCAUCGUCCAUCAUUGUAACGGAAUCUACAUUUUGAUCCAACAGAGUAACUUUGCUCCUCCAGUGGCUCUGGUUCAACAUCAUUUGGAUCAAGAGGCUCUACCUUAACAUAAUCAGCAGAAUGCUUAGAAUCAUCGAGUGCGGAAUCAACUUCCCGCAAUAAACGUGCACGCUUUAGGUGCAGAAGUCCAUCCUCUGCAUCUUUAAUUGUCUGAACAAGCUCCUCUUGAACCGAGAGGAGCUCGGCAUUGGAGGGGUCAGAGGCGAGAGCAUCAUCCAAGGCAGCAAGUGAAUCUUUCUGCUCCUGUAACUGAAGCUCCAGCUGAUUCUCUAGAGCUCUCUCUUCUUCACUCGCCAUCGCUGUGAGUCCUUCUUCGAGAUCAAAUAUUUUUCAGAACGAUAAAGGCUCGCCAGACGAUCAAGGACAUUGGCA